AUUGAACGCUGGCGGCAUGCCUAACACAUGCAAGUCGAACGGUUAGCCGGCUUCGGCCGGUGAGAGUGGCGAACGGGUGAGUAACGCGUGGGAAUCUGCCCAGUAGUGGGGGACAACCCGGGGAAACUCGGGCUAAUACCGCAUACGCCCUACGGGGGAAGCGGGGGACCGCAAGGCCUCGCGCUAUUGGAUGAGCCCGCGUCCGAUUAGCUGGUUGGUGAGGUAAUGGCUCACCAAGGCGACGAUCGGUAGCUGGUCUGAGAGGACGAUCAGCCACACUGGGACUGAGACACGGCCCAGACUCCUACGGGAGGCAGCAGUGGGGAAUAUUGGACAAUGGGCGAAAGCCUGAUCCAGCAAUGCCGCGUGUGUGAAGAAGACCUGCGGGUUGUAAAGCACUUUCGGCCGGGAAGAAAUCGCAUGGGUUAAUACCCUGUGUGGAUGACGGUACCGGAAUAAGAAGCACCGGCUAACUACGUGCCAGCAGCCGCGGUAAU
RNAcentral lists this ribosomal RNA (497 nucleotides) under uncultured bacterium. RNAcentral's name for it is "bacterial SSU rRNA". It matches the Rfam family "Bacterial small subunit ribosomal RNA", at positions 29 to 524 of the family's 1533-position model. The record is from RNAcentral.